Peromyscus maniculatus bairdii (prairie deer mouse) is the source of this 1015-nucleotide non-coding RNA. The record is from RefSeq and is a predicted model, not a curated record. Lineage: Eukaryota; Metazoa; Chordata; Mammalia; Rodentia; Cricetidae.
UCCCAGGUGCCUGGCAGGGGUUCAGAGGUUCUCCAGUGAGCGUCACAGGGCUGCUGCGGAGGUCAGUGGCAGAAGCACCAGCAUCUUUUAUGAAGCAUGAGAGCUCCUGACUGAAUUCCUGAUGGUGCAGUGAUUGUAUUUCCGGCAUGGUGGGUCACUGAAGAGACCUCAGGGGCUCCAGAAUCUCCACUCCUCCGGUGACCUCUCUGGCUCUCAGCUGGCACUUGUCCUGUUUCAAGCCAACCUCAGAUGCCAACAGUGUAGAACGAAGUGGCGUGUCACUGUGGGCUUGAAGUAUCUUUUCAAAUAGAUCAUGGCAUUUUAAAAUCAGGACAAUGUUUGGACUGUGGAUCUGAGCUGAACACUUUCUCUGAGGAAGAAAAUGAAGACACAGAACCUGAAAUCUCUGGUCAUCUUUGCUGUUCCUAAUAGCCAUGAGUUGAGGGAGCAAGUUCUAGAAAAUGAAAAGAGGAAAUCAGGAAGCAGAACAGGUGCUGAGUGUUGUAAGGAGAACUGGAGUCUGGGCUCUCACCCCAGUGAGGACCAUCGCCGAGGGACCAAGGCCGGCUGCAGUCACCCCGUUUCCAUCUGGCUGCACCCAUGCCUGCUUCGCUCUGGUGGUGUUUGUUGUUGAUGAUAAUCUUUCUGCCUGACGUGCAUUGGUGUCCAUGGCAACAGGGUCUGUCUUCCCUUGAAUCUCCAAGAAGCCAUGCAGGGUACCAGACACCUUAAAGUCACACAGAACCACAGUGACUGUCUUAAUUAGGGUUUCAUUGCCGUGACAACUCUUACUAGGAAAACAUUUAGUUGGGGUGGCUUACAGUUCAGAGGCUUACAGUCCAUUGUCAUCAUGGCAGACAUGGUGCUGGAGAAGGAGCUGAGAGUUCUACACCGGGAACUCAGGCAGCAGGAAAGAGAGUGGGCGUGAAAGCCCACACACGGGGACACACCUCCUCCCACAAGGCCACGCCUCCUCUCACAAGGCCACACCUCCUCCCACAAGGCCACACCUCCC